RNAcentral lists this ribosomal RNA (508 nucleotides) under uncultured Glomeromycotina. Its description in RNAcentral is "SSU rRNA". It matches the Rfam family "Eukaryotic small subunit ribosomal RNA", at positions 569 to 1077 of the family's 1831-position model. The record is from RNAcentral. Lineage: Eukaryota; Fungi; Glomeromycota.
AGCAGCCGCGGUAAUUCCAGCUCCAAUAGUGUAUAUUAAAGUUGUUGCAGUUAAAAAGCUCGUAGUUGAAUUUCGGGAUCAAUGUUUCGGUCAUGCCGUUGGUAUGUACUGAUAUUAUUGGUUUCUCACCUUCUAAAGAACCGUAAUGCCAUUAAUUUGGUGUCACGGGGAAUUAGGACUGUUACCUUGAAAAAAUUAGAGUGUUUAAAGCAGGCUAACGCUUGAAUACAUUAGCAUGGAAUAAUGAAAUAGGACAUCCGAUUCUAUUUUGUUGGUUUCUAGGAUCGAUGUAAUGAUUAAUAGGGAUAGUUGGGGGCAUUAGUAUUCAAUUGUCAGAGGUGAAAUUCUUGGAUUUAUUGAAGACUAACUACUGCGAAAGCAUUUGCCAAGGAUGUUUUCAUUAAUCAAGAAUGAAAGUUAGGGGAUCGAAGACGAUCAGAUACCGUCGUAGUCUUAACCAUAAACUAUGCCGACUAGGGAUCGGAUGAUGUUAAUUUUUUAAUGACUC